RNAcentral lists this ribosomal RNA (255 nucleotides) under uncultured bacterium. RNAcentral's name for it is "partial 16S ribosomal RNA". It matches the Rfam family "Bacterial small subunit ribosomal RNA", at positions 524 to 776 of the family's 1533-position model. The record is from RNAcentral.
UACGUAGGCAGCGAGCGUUGUUCGGAGUUACUGGGCGUAAAGAGCUCGUAGGCGGUUUGUCGCGUCUGCUGUGAAAACUGGAGGCUCAACCUCCAGCCUGCAGUGGGUACGGGCAGACUAGAGUGCGGUAGGGGAGAAUGGAAUUCCCGGUGUAGCGGUGAAAUGCGCAGAUAUCGGGAGGAACACCGGUGGCGAAGGCGGUUCUCUGGGCCUUACCUGACGCUGGAGGAGCGAAAGCCGUGGGGAGCGAACAGG